Molecule: ribosomal RNA, 348 nt
Filed under: uncultured fungus
Lineage: Eukaryota; Fungi
Description: SSU rRNA
Rfam family: Eukaryotic small subunit ribosomal RNA
Source: RNAcentral
UGUAGUCAUAUGCUUGUCUCAAAGAUUAAGCCAUGCAUGUCUAAGUAUAAGCAACUAUACGGUGAAACUGCGAAUGGCUCAUUAAAUCAGUUAUCGUUUAUUUGGUAGUACCUUACUACAUGGAUAACCGUGGCAAUUCUAGAGCUAAUACAUGCUAAAAACCCCGACUUCGGAAGGGGUGUAUUUAUUAGAUAAAAAACCAAUGCCCUUCGGGGCUCCUUGGUGAAUCAUAAUAACUUAACGAAUCGCAUGGCCUUGCGCCGGCGAUGGUUCAUUCAAAUUUCUGCCCUAUCAACUUUCGAUGGUAGGAUAGUGGCCUACCAUGGUAUCAACGGGUAACGGGGAAUG